This is a long non-coding RNA of Artibeus jamaicensis (Jamaican fruit-eating bat), 578 nucleotides long. RefSeq lists it as uncharacterized. NCBI's taxonomy places the organism in Eukaryota, Metazoa, Chordata, Mammalia, Chiroptera, Phyllostomidae. The transcript is spliced from 4 exons. The record is from RefSeq and is a predicted model, not a curated record.
CAGGGUGGGCGGAAAUGAGCUAAGUUCCCCGAGAGUUGGGAAGCAGGAGGUCAAAUCUGAGGCCAGACCCUUGAACUACUUGCGCAACUCUUGAAGAAAAAUAAAGUCGGAGUAGGAGUUUUGAUGUGUGUUCACAGACUUCACUUGGAAUGAUCAUGUCAAAUUACCCGGGCUAAUCAUCAACCAACAGAGAUGAGGACUGAUUUCUACCAGUCUAUGCUGACUCCUGCAAUCCGAACAUUGCCUAAGAGGAUGCCUUAAGCCAGUUCUCCACAGGUGCCUGUGCUUGUGAGGGAUCUGGAAAAAGGGAAAUCACUUUGUUAUUGCUUUUGCAAGUAUGUUAUCCUAGAUGCAAAAAGACUACAAACAGGCUCAAUUAAGGUGAGUGCUAGAGGGAGCAGAGCUUCUGAGGAAGAAGGAGACCAGGAAACAGAAUGUGGCAAAGAAGUCCUCACUUGGGAUCUCAAAAGAUAUUCUUUGGAGGCCUCACAACCCAUCUGAUUUGCAGGCUUUAAAAUUUUAAGGCAAAGAUUACACACACACACACACACACACACACACACAUGCCACAGUCCUCC